This 109-nucleotide ribosomal RNA is filed under the name Caerostris extrusa. Lineage: Eukaryota; Metazoa; Arthropoda; Arachnida; Araneae; Araneidae. The record is from RNAcentral.
UGCCAUACCAUGCUGAAUAUACCGGUUCUCGUUAGAUUACCGAAGUCAAGCAUCAUUGGGCGCGGUCAGUACUUGGGUGGGUGACUACCUGGGAACACCGCGUGCCGUU